GACAAAGAACUGCAUGUAGAUCUAAUCCUCCAGUCUCUCUUGAUUCAUAUGGACAGUUCAUCAUAACUACCAUAUGAAUAAGAUCAUUGCUACUUUGUCAGAGUUAUUGAAUAUGCUGGUGACUGCAGAGGAUACCUUGAAGAGUUCAAGAGGCAUAGUUCUAGCUGUGAAACAGGCUUCCUCCAAAAGAAAGUCUUCUUUUAAGAAGAAAAAGCCCGCGA
Molecule: long non-coding RNA, 221 nt
Filed under: Elaeis guineensis (African oil palm)
Lineage: Eukaryota; Viridiplantae; Streptophyta; Magnoliopsida; Arecales; Arecaceae
Description: long non-coding RNA (EGUI_LNC062535)
Source: RNAcentral